CACUCCUUCCUCGCACCCACAACACUCACCACCAUCGUCCCUCCCUCCUUCGCGUGCAAUGGCUUCUUGUGGUUGGUUCGCUCACCAAUUCGUGGGAGGGCUCCGUCAUGACCAACGAGCACAUUGCCUAUCUCCGGCGGACGCAAAAGGUCCUCCCUAUGGAGCGCGCCAAGGCACGCGCGCCCGACGACGAGCGCAUGACGGAGCCGUGUGCUGAUGAGCAUGUCG
RNAcentral lists this long non-coding RNA (228 nucleotides) under Hordeum vulgare. RNAcentral's name for it is "long non-coding RNA (HVUL_LNC004571)". Lineage: Eukaryota; Viridiplantae; Streptophyta; Magnoliopsida; Poales; Poaceae. The record is from RNAcentral.